CCUACGGGGGGCAGCAGUGAGGAAUAUUGGUCAAUGGGCGAGAGCCUGAACCAGCCAAGUCGCGUGAAGGAUGAAGGAUCUAUGGUUUGUAAACUUCUUUUAUAUGGGAAUAAAGUGAGGAACGUGUUCCUUUUUGUAUGUACCAUAUGAAUAAGCAUCGGCUAACUCCGUGCCAGCAGCCGCGGUAAUACGGAGGAUGCGAGCGUUCUCCGGAUUGAUUGGGUUGAAGGGGUGCGUAGGGGGUUAAUUAAGUCAGCGGUGAAAGUUUGUGGCUCAACCAUAACAGUGCCGGUGAAGCUGGUUGAUGGGAGUAUAGGUGGGGUAGGGGGAAUGCGUGGUGUAGCGGGG
This 348-nucleotide ribosomal RNA is filed under the name uncultured bacterium. RNAcentral's name for it is "partial 16S ribosomal RNA". It matches the Rfam family "Bacterial small subunit ribosomal RNA", at positions 338 to 683 of the family's 1533-position model. The record is from RNAcentral.